UCCCUGGUGGUCUAGUGGUUAGAACUCGGUGCUUCCACUGCUAUGGCCUGGGUUCAAUCCCUGGUUGGGGAG
Molecule: transfer RNA, 72 nt
Filed under: Bos taurus (domestic cattle)
Lineage: Eukaryota; Metazoa; Chordata; Mammalia; Artiodactyla; Bovidae
Also listed under: 2 other names
Rfam family: tRNA
About the family: Transfer RNA (tRNA) molecules are approximately 80 nucleotides in length. Their secondary structure includes four short double-helical elements and three loops (D, anti-codon, and T loops). Further hydrogen bonds mediate the characteristic L-shaped molecular structure. tRNAs have two regions of fundamental functional importance: the anti-codon, which is responsible for specific mRNA codon recognition, and the 3' end, to which the tRNAs corresponding amino acid is attached (by aminoacyl-tRNA synthetases). tRNAs cope with the degeneracy of the genetic code in two manners: having more than one tRNA (with a specific anti-codon) for a particular amino acid; and 'wobble' base-pairing, i.e. permitting non-standard base-pairing at the 3rd anti-codon position.
Source: Rfam by way of RNAcentral